UGAGCGACCUACCUAAUUGUGGGGGAUAGCCGGCCCAACGGCCGGGUAAUACCGCAUACGAUCGGAGAGGGGCAUCCCUUUCUGAGGAAAGCCUUCGGGCGCAAUUUGAGGGGCUCGCGGCCUAUCAGCUAGUUGGCGGGGUAACGGCCCACCAAGGCGACGACGGGUAGCUGGUCUGAGAGGAUGGCCAGCCACAUUGGGACUGAGAUACGGCCCAGACUCCUACGGGAGGCAG
Molecule: ribosomal RNA, 235 nt
Filed under: uncultured bacterium
Lineage: Bacteria
Description: partial 16S ribosomal RNA
Rfam family: Bacterial small subunit ribosomal RNA
Source: RNAcentral